Rattus norvegicus (Norway rat) is the source of this 601-nucleotide non-coding RNA. The record is from RefSeq and is a predicted model, not a curated record. Lineage: Eukaryota; Metazoa; Chordata; Mammalia; Rodentia; Muridae.
AGUAUACUUUGAGAACUUGCACUGAGUACAUGUCUACAUAUUACAGAGUGAUAGUAGUGUUGAAAUUGGUUGAUAAUGGGUAAUUGUUGUGACACAUGAGGCAAAACCCAGAUCCCCCUUACUGAAAUUUUCAUAUUGCCUCCAGUGUAAGAAUUCAUCAGUUUCUUCACCCCUCUACAAUUUUUGUAUAUCACACAAUUCAAGGCAGUAUUUAAGCAAAUCUAUUCAUGUAAAAUUGUUGGUUGGAAUCUGGUUUCUUGUCCUUUUGGCUGGGAUCAAGUAUAGCAUAGAUAAAAGUGUUGUUGAUAUAUGUAAAUAUAGUAUAUUUGAUGAUUCAAAUAUAAUAAAGGAAUAUUUUCUAAAAGAUAGGUAAUGGCCUAUUCUUCUACUCUACUCUGUCCCCUAAAAGUUCAAAUAAAGAUAAAAUUUAUUGUUUUUCAUACUGAAUCACAAUCAAAAGUAUUAUCUGCCUGUAAUGGAAAUAAUUUAUGAUUGGUAUGACCAUGUCCGAGUUUUUAUAUCAGAAAUUGUAUCAAAAUAUUUAGAAAUUGUAGUGUCCUAUGAUUCUUGAUAAAUAAAUGCAUUAUCAUUAUGAUCAGAA